Molecule: ribosomal RNA, 464 nt
Filed under: uncultured bacterium
Lineage: Bacteria
Description: partial 16S ribosomal RNA
Rfam family: Bacterial small subunit ribosomal RNA
Source: RNAcentral
GACGAACGCUGGCGGCGUGCUUAACACAUGCCAGUCGUACGGUAAGGCCCUUUCGGGGGUACACGAGUGGCGAACGGGUGAGUAACACGUGAGUAACCUGCCCACAACUUUGGGAUAACGCUAGGAAACUGGUGCUAAUACUGGAUAUGUGCUCCUGCUGCAUGGUGGGGGUUGGAAAGCUCCGGCGGUUGUGGAUGGACUCGCGGCCUAUCAGCUUGUUGGUGGGGUAGUGGCCUACCAAGGCGGCGACGGGUAGCCGGCCUGAGAGGGUGACCGGCCACAUUGGGACUGAGAUACGGCCCAGACUCCUACGGGAGGCAGCAGUGGGGAUAUUGCACAAUGGGCGCAAGCCUGAUGCAGCAACGCCGCGUGCGGGAUGACGGCCUUCGGGUUGUAAACCGCUUUCAGCAGGGACGAAGCUUUUUGUGACGGUACCUGCAGAAGAAGCACCGGCUAACUACGUG